Molecule: long non-coding RNA, 689 nt
Organism: Vidua chalybeata
Lineage: Eukaryota; Metazoa; Chordata; Aves; Passeriformes; Viduidae
Exons: 3
Source: RefSeq, a predicted model, not a curated record
CGUCAGCAGAUGGCGCCGCUCGGCUCGGCGCUCCGGCCCGGCGGGACGGCGGGCACCGGCGCGGGGCUGCUGCUGGAGUCGGCAGUUUCGCCAGGCUCGGCUCUGCCUGCUCGGGCUUUAUGGAGGAGACAGCAAAGCCAGAGUGCGUGCACUGAAGAAAAAAACCCUAAACUUUGUUGGGAGUGGUGAAAGUUCAGAGGAACUCAGCUCCUGAAGAAUUACUUGAUAAUCUGCCACAGAACAGCAGCCUGAUUCUCCAGUGCAUCAGGAUAUCCUUGUGCAAGACUGUAAAACUGGCCUACUGUUGAGAGUGUCUGCAGCAGAGCCAAGUCUGAAUUCACACCAUUAAGGGGCUCCUUCCUCCUCUGCUGUCGCCACAGGAGACAGACUGGGAUCCCCAAACAUGAGUGGUUCUCCAGUUGUUAUCACAGCCUAGAAAGCAAUAUAAACUAGAGGAAUAAAAGAGUGGUCUCUGCUCAGAAACCCCAUGUUCAGGUGGACCUGAUUCUGUUUUCUGCCUAUCUUCAGUGUGGUAAGUAACCAAAUUGUAAGACAUUUCUGGUUUUCUCUUUUCCAAUGUCAGAGUAAGGCUCUUAGACUAAACACCAGAAGAAAAUGCAGGAAACCUCAAUGAAAUUUUCUAUUUAAUGAAAUGCUGUAACAUUCUAAACAAGAUUAACAAGAUUCAA